RNAcentral lists this ribosomal RNA (465 nucleotides) under uncultured bacterium. RNAcentral describes it as "partial 16S ribosomal RNA". It matches the Rfam family "Bacterial small subunit ribosomal RNA", at positions 28 to 507 of the family's 1533-position model. The record is from RNAcentral.
GACGAACGCUGGCGGCGUGCUUAACACAUGCAAGUCGAACGGAAAGGCCCUGCUUGCAGGGUACUCGAGUGGCGAACGGGUGAGUAACACGUGGGUGAUCUGCCCUGCACUUCGGGAUAAGCCUGGGAAACUGGGUCUAAUACCGGAUAGGAGCCAUUUUUAGUGUGAUGGUUGGAAAGUUUUUUCGGUGUAGGAUGAGCUCGCGGCCUAUCAGCUUGUUGGUGGGGUAAUGGCCUACCAAGGCGGCGACGGGUAGCCGGCCUGAGAGGGUGGACGGUCACAUUGGGACUGAGAUACGGCCCAGACUCCUACGGGAGGCAGCAGGGGGGAAUAUUGCACAAUGGGCGCAAGCCUGAUGCAGCGACGCCGCGUGGGGGAUGACGGCCUUCGGGUUGUAAACUCCUUUCGCUAGGGACGAAGCUUUUUGUGACGGUACCUAGAUAAGAAGCACCGGCUAACUACGUG